This 425-nucleotide ribosomal RNA is filed under the name uncultured bacterium. Its description in RNAcentral is "partial 16S ribosomal RNA". It matches the Rfam family "Bacterial small subunit ribosomal RNA", at positions 354 to 796 of the family's 1533-position model. The record is from RNAcentral.
GUUAGGAAUAUUGGACAAUGGGCGCAAGCCUGAUCCAGCCAUGCCGCGUGAGUGAUGAAGGCCUUCGGGUUGUAAAGUUCUUUAGCCGAUGAUUAUAAUGACUGUAGUCGGAAAAUAAGCCCCGGCUAACUUCGUGCCAGCAGCCGCGGUAAUACGAAGGGGGCGAGCGUUAUUCGGAAUCACUGGGCGUAAAGCGUGCGUAGGCGGUCUCGUAAGUUAGGAGUGAAAGCCCAGGGCUCAACCUUGGAAUUGCUCUUAAAACUGCAAGGCUAGAAUCUCGGAGAGGAUAGCGGAAUUUCCAGUGUAGCAGUGAAAUGCGUAGAUAUUGGAAGGAACACCAGUGGCGUAAGCGGCUAUCUGGACGAGUAUUGACGCUGAGGCACGAAAGCGUGGGGAUCAAACAGGAUUAGAUACCCUUGUAGUCC